RNAcentral lists this ribosomal RNA (506 nucleotides) under uncultured bacterium. RNAcentral describes it as "partial 16S ribosomal RNA". It matches the Rfam family "Bacterial small subunit ribosomal RNA", at positions 30 to 523 of the family's 1533-position model. The record is from RNAcentral.
AUUGAACGCUGGCGGCAGGCUUAACACAUGCAAGUCGAGCAGUAACAGAGAGAAGCUUGCUUCUCUGCUGACGAGCGGCGGACGGGUGAGUAAUGCCUAGGAAUCUGCCUAGUAGUGGGGGAUAACUUGCCGAAAGGUAAGCUAAUACCGCAUACGUCCUACGGGAGAAAGGAGGGGACCUUCGGGCCUUUCGCUGUUAGAUGAGCCUAGGUCGGAUUAGUUAGUUGGUGAGGUAAUGGCUCACCAAGACCGCGAUCCGUAACUGGUCUGAGAGGAUGAUCAGUCACACUGGAACUGAGACACGGCCCAGACUCCUACGGGAGGCAGCAGUGGGGAAUAUUGGACAAUGGGGGGAACCCUGAUUCAGCCAUGCCGCGUGUGUGAAGAAGGUCUUAGGAUUGUAAAGCACUUUAAGUUGGGAGGAAGAGCAGUUAACUAAUAUUUGACUGUUUUGACGUUACCGACAGAAUAAGCACCGGCUAACUUCGUGCCAGCCGCCGCGGUAA